RNAcentral lists this non-coding RNA (183 nucleotides) under Moraxellaceae bacterium. RNAcentral describes it as "6S RNA". It matches the Rfam family "6S / SsrS RNA". From Rfam's summary of the family: E. coli 6S RNA was the first non coding RNA to be sequenced, but its function was unknown until recently. Lineage: Bacteria; Pseudomonadati; Pseudomonadota; Gammaproteobacteria; Moraxellales; Moraxellaceae. The record is from RNAcentral.
UUUCCCCUGCGGUGUUCGUGUGGGCCACAUACUCCUUGAACCAAUGUCUACGCGACAUGGUUGCUGGCCGAACAACCCGCUGUUGUGAGCGCCCCUUUGCCGGGCGCACCUGAGGCGGGCCGGUCGCGACCCCCUGAACCACCGGUUCAGGAUGACGGCACACACGGCACAGGCGGGGGAUCC